Molecule: ribosomal RNA, 301 nt
Filed under: uncultured bacterium
Lineage: Bacteria
Description: partial 16S ribosomal RNA
Rfam family: Bacterial small subunit ribosomal RNA
Source: RNAcentral
CAGUCGCCGCGGUAAUACGAAGGGGGCUAGCGUUGUUCGGAUUUACUGGGCGUAAAGGGUGCGUAGGCGGAUUGUUAAGUCAGGGGUGAAAUCCCGAGGCUCAACCUCGGAACUGCCUUUGAUACUGGCGAUCUUGAGUCCGGGAGAGGUGAGUGGAACUGCGAGUGUAGAGGUGAAAUUCGUAGAUAUUCGCAAGAACACCGGUGGCGAAGGCGGCUCACUGGCCCGGAACUGACGCUGAGGCACGAAAGCGUGGGGAGCAAACAGGAUUAGAUACCCCAGUAGUCCCUGUCUCUUAUAC